GGGCAUCUUUUCUGCUGGGACAUGUAUACUCAUCAGCAAACGUAUGAUGAGCUCUCACAUUCAGACCUGAGUCUGUCAGCUGUCACCACUCCCUUAUCUCAUGCUGGAAAGGCACACCAAAAUACAGAACUUUCAGGAAGGCACCAUCGGUCUUGAGCUGGAAGCCCGCCUUUUAGGUUUUGAAGAGAGAAGAGGUGGAGGAGGAUGUGUGCUCCAUGAAGAUGUGCUCACAGAAUCUAACUUGCUGUGGGGUGGCCAGAGGCCUCGACGAGGAUGCCAAUGACCUUCAGAUGUCUCCGGCUCCUAUCAUGGCUGUGUGAAGCUAUAGGCUGUGUUGAAGACCAACCAGGGGAGAGCAAGCUAAGGCCAUUUAUUCAGAGGCUGCUGUAGCAGGGGAGUCAGGCACCCACACAUGUCUUAUGGAAAGCUGCUUCUGCCCCAACCCUGUUUUAGCAAGUCCUCAGUUUAAUCUGAUAUCCGAGUACCACCUCCUAACCCAUUUCUACCCAUCUUAGGUUCAUCGGCUGGGGCCCUUGUGACAAAAGACAGAUUAACAAGAGAAAGGUACACAAAUUUAUUUAAUAUAAGUGUUAUGUGACACAGGAACCUUCAAAAGGAAAUGAAGUUCUGAAGAAACAGCUAAACCUGAAGGGUUUUUGUCGUAGAUUUGAGGAAGAAUGAAGCAUUGUGGGAAAAUAUGACAAAGCAAAGAAAAAGAAUGAGAGAAAUGUAAUAAACCGGGGA
This 744-nucleotide long non-coding RNA is filed under the name Pongo abelii (Sumatran orangutan). Its description in RNAcentral is "lincRNA". Lineage: Eukaryota; Metazoa; Chordata; Mammalia; Primates; Hominidae. The record is from RNAcentral.